RNAcentral lists this ribosomal RNA (502 nucleotides) under uncultured bacterium. RNAcentral's name for it is "partial 16S ribosomal RNA". It matches the Rfam family "Bacterial small subunit ribosomal RNA", at positions 28 to 507 of the family's 1533-position model. The record is from RNAcentral.
GACGAACGCUGGCGGCGUGCCUAAUACAUGCAAGUCGAACGAACCGCGACUAAGUGCUUGCACUAAGUCAAGGUGAGUGGCGAACGGGUGAGUAACACGUGGGUAACCUACCUCAUAGUGGGGGAUAACAGUCGGAAACGACUGCUAAUACCGCAUAGGACAUAGGAUCACAUGAUCCAGUGAGGAAAGGUGGCGCAAGCUAUCGCUAAGAGAUGGGCCCGCGGUGCAUUAGCUAGUUGGUAGGGUAAAGGCCUACCAAGGCGAUGAUGCAUAGCCGACCUGAGAGGGUGAUCGGCCACAUUGGGACUGAGACACGGCCCAAACUCCUACGGGAGGCAGCAGUAGGGAAUCUUCCGCAAUGGACGCAAGUCUGACGGAGCAACGCCGCGUGAGUGAAGAAGGUCUUCGGAUCGUAAAGCUCUGUUGUUAGAGAAGAACAGCGCAUAGAGUAACUGCUAUGCGUGUGACGGUAUCUAACCAGAAAGCCACGGCUAACUACGUG